This 67-nucleotide transfer RNA is filed under the name Suillia flava. Its description in RNAcentral is "tRNA-Tyr". It matches the Rfam family "tRNA". Rfam says of the family: Transfer RNA (tRNA) molecules are approximately 80 nucleotides in length. Their secondary structure includes four short double-helical elements and three loops (D, anti-codon, and T loops). Lineage: Eukaryota; Metazoa; Arthropoda; Insecta; Diptera; Heleomyzidae. The record is from RNAcentral.
GGUUAAAUGGCUGAAAUAUAGGCAAUAGAUUGUAAAUCUAUUUAUAAGAAUGAAUUCUUUUUAACCA